GACGAACGCUGGCGGCGUGCUUAACACAUGCAAGUCGAACGGAAAGGCCCUGCGUUUGUGGGGUGCUCGAGUGGCGAACAGGUGAGUAACACGUGAGUAACCUGCCCCUGACUUUGGGGUAACAUCAGGAAACAGGGGCUCAUACCCGAUAGGAGCUCCUGAUGCAUGGGGGGGGAUGGUAAGAGUCGGCGGUUGGGGAUGGACUCGCGGUCUAUCAGCUUGUUGGUGGGGUAGUGGCGUAACACGGCUUCGACGGGUAGCCGGCCUGGGAGGGUGACCGGCCACAUUGGGACUGAGGUACGGACCAGACUCCUACGGGAGGCAGCAGUGGGGAAUAUUGCACAAUGGGCGGAAGCCUGAUGCAGCAACGCCGCGUGCGGGAUGACGGCCUUCGGGGUAUAAACCGCUUUCGCCUGUGACGAAGAGUGAGUGACGGUAAUGGGUCAAGAAGCACCGGCUAACUACGUG
This 468-nucleotide ribosomal RNA is filed under the name uncultured bacterium. RNAcentral describes it as "partial 16S ribosomal RNA". It matches the Rfam family "Bacterial small subunit ribosomal RNA", at positions 28 to 507 of the family's 1533-position model. The record is from RNAcentral.